GUGCACGCUGGCGGUAGGCCUAACACAUGCAAGUCGAACGGCAGCACAGUAAGAGCUUGCUCUUACGGGUGGCGAGUGGCGGACGGGUGAGGAAUACAUCGGAAUCUACUUUUUCGUGGGGGAUAACGUAGGGAAACUUACGCUAAUACCGCAUACGACCUACGGGUGAAAGCAGGGGAUCUUCGGACCUUGCGCGAUUGAAUGAGCCGAUGUCGGAUUAGCUAGUUGGCGGGGUAAAGGCCCACCAAGGCGACGAUCCGUAGCUGGUCUGAGGGGAUGAUCCGCCACACGGGAACUGGAAACCGGCCCCACCCCCUACGGGAGGCAGGAGGGGGGAAAUUGGGAAAAGGGGGGCAAGCCUGAUCCAGCCAUACCGGGUGGGUGAAGAAGGCCUUCGGGUUGUAAAGCCCUUUUGUUGGGAAAGAAAAUCAGCAGGUUAAAACCCCGCUGUUCUGACGGUACCAAAAGAAUAAGCACCGGCUAAUUUCGG
Molecule: ribosomal RNA, 490 nt
Filed under: uncultured bacterium
Lineage: Bacteria
Description: partial 16S ribosomal RNA
Rfam family: Bacterial small subunit ribosomal RNA
Source: RNAcentral